GAAGCCCUGAAUCAAGGCCCACAGCUUACUGUAGCUGUUGGUUUCAAACAGCGGCUAAUAUCAAAGUCUUCCAAUAGUCUUUUGACUUGCCCAUGACAUGUAAAUGGGUUUAGUCAGUUCAGUUUGAAGCAAUACUU
Small nucleolar RNA from Misgurnus anguillicaudatus (oriental weatherfish), 137 nucleotides. The record is from RefSeq and is a predicted model, not a curated record. NCBI's taxonomy places the organism in Eukaryota, Metazoa, Chordata, Actinopteri, Cypriniformes, Cobitidae.